GACGAACGCUGGCGGCGUGCUUAACACAUGCAAGUCGAACGGAAAGGCCCUGCUUUUGUGGGGUGCUCGAGUGGCGAACGGGUGAGUAACACGUGAGUAACCUGCCCUUGACUUUGGGAUAACUUCAGGAAACUGGGGCUAAUACCGGAUAGGAGCUCCUGCUGCAUGGUGGGGGUUGGAAAGUUUCGGCGGUUGGGGAUGGACUCGCGGCUUAUCAGCUUGUUGGUGGGGUAGUGGCUUACCAAGGCUUUGACGGGUAGCCGGCCUGAGAGGGUGACCGGCCACAUUGGGACUGAGCUACGGCCCAGACUCCUACGGGAGGCAGCAGUGGGGAAUAUUGCACAAUGGGCGGAAGCCUGAUGCAGCAACGCCGCGUGCGGGAUGACGGCCUUCGGGUGGUAAACCGCUUUCGCCUGUGACGAAGCGUGAGUGACGGUAAUGGGUAAAGAAGCACCGGCUAACUACGU
RNAcentral lists this ribosomal RNA (467 nucleotides) under uncultured bacterium. RNAcentral describes it as "partial 16S ribosomal RNA". It matches the Rfam family "Bacterial small subunit ribosomal RNA", at positions 28 to 506 of the family's 1533-position model. The record is from RNAcentral.